This 486-nucleotide ribosomal RNA is filed under the name uncultured bacterium. RNAcentral describes it as "partial 16S ribosomal RNA". The record is from RNAcentral.
GUAGUUAGCCGGGGCUUCCUCCUUGGCUACCGUCAUUUGUUUCGUCACCAAGGACAGAGGUUUACAACCCGAAAGCCUUCUUCCCUCACGCGGCGUUGCUGGGUCAGGCUUGCGCCCAUUGCCCAAUAUUCCCCACUGCUGCCUCCCGUAGGAGUCUGGACCGUGUCUCAGUUCCAGUGUGGCCGAUCAGCCUCUCAGCUCGGCUACCCAUCGUCGACUUGGUGGGCCGUUACCCCGCCAACUAUCUAAUGGGACGCGAGCCCCUCCUUCAGCGAAUUGCUCCUUUGACCCCUCUACCAUGCGGUAGCGUGGUCUCAUGCGGUAUUAGCAGUAAUUUCUCACUGUUAUCCCCCUCUGAAGGACAGGUUGCUCACGCGUUACUCACCCGUUCGCCACUAACUCAAGGAGCAAGCUCCUCUCGUCCGUUCGACUUGCAUGUGUUAGGCACGCCGCCAGCGUUCGUCCUGAGCCAUGAUCAAACUCUGA